UAGUUUAUACAAAAUAUUGGUUUGUCAAACCAGAGUAGUGAAAAAUUCAC
This 50-nucleotide transfer RNA is filed under the name Carychium tridentatum. RNAcentral's name for it is "tRNA-Asp". The record is from RNAcentral. Lineage: Eukaryota; Metazoa; Mollusca; Gastropoda; Ellobiida; Ellobiidae.